ACCUCUGAAGCAUGUAUAUACUAAAAUUGGAACAAUACAGAGAUUAGCAAGGCCCCUGUGCAAGGAUGGCAUGCAAAUUCAUGAAGCAUUUUAUAUUUUG
RNAcentral lists this small nuclear RNA (100 nucleotides) under Vulpes vulpes (red fox). Lineage: Eukaryota; Metazoa; Chordata; Mammalia; Carnivora; Canidae. The record is from RNAcentral.